RNA transcript from Panicum virgatum (switchgrass), 2922 nucleotides. It is a transcript of the gene named protein spotted leaf 11-like, with no coding region annotated. The record is from RefSeq and is a predicted model, not a curated record. Lineage: Eukaryota; Viridiplantae; Streptophyta; Magnoliopsida; Poales; Poaceae. The transcript has 6 exons.
CACUACCACUCCCCUCCCUGGUCUUGGUCUACCCCACCAGCUAGCCGCGACGCGUUCCCGCGGCAGCCGGUCGCCACGCCAUGGCCGGCGACGGCGGGGCCGCCGCGGAGAGGGUGGCGGCGGCCGUGGAGGCGGCGGCGGCGGGCGGCUGGGAGUUCCGGAACGCGUACCGGCGCCAGCUCCUGGCGCUGUCGCGCCGGAUUCGGCUCCUCGGUCCCUUCGCGGAGGAGCUCCGGGAGGCGCGCCGGGGCCCCACGGACGCGGGGAAGGAGCGGGAGCGGGAGCGGGCGCUGGCGCCGCUCGCCGACGCGCUGGAGAAGGCGCUCGACCUGCUCCGGCUCGGCCGCGACGGGAGCAGGAUCUUCCUGGUCCUUGAGAGGGAUAAUGUACUGAAGAAGUUUCAAGGAGUAAUUGCUCAGCUAGAGCAAGCUUUGUGUGAUUUUCCAUACGAUAAAUUGGAUAUAUCAGAUGAAGUUAGAGAGCAGGUUGAGUUAGUGCAUGCACAGCUCAGAAGAGCAAAAGAACGGGCAGACAUGCCUGAUGAUGAGUUCUACAAUGACGUACUGUCUCUGUAUAACAAGAGCUAUGACCCAAGUGCUGAACUGGAUAUCCUUGAAAGAUUGUCAGAAAAGUUACACCUGAUGACCAUCACUGAUCUCACACACGAAUCGCUUGCUUUGCAUGAGAUGGUGGCAUCUGGUGGUGGUCAGGAUCCAGGAGAACACAUUGAGAAAAUGUCAAUGCUAUUGAAGAAGAUGAAGGACUUUGUGCAAACUCAAAACCCUGAGAUGGGGCCGCCAAUAGUUACCAAGCUAAUGGAUUCCAACGGGGAGCCAAGGCCUGUAAACAUUCCUGAUGAGUUCCGGUGUCCAAUUUCUCUUGAGCUAAUGAAAGAUCCUGUUAUUGUUGCUACUGGCCAGACAUAUGAGCGGGCAUGCAUCGAGAAGUGGCUAGCUUCUGGGCACCAUACUUGUCCAAAUACUCAGCAGAGGAUGACAAACACAACACUGACACCGAACUAUGUUCUUAGAAGUCUUAUUGCCCAGUGGUGCGAGGCCAACGGGAUUGAGCCACCCAAACGUUCAUCGCAACCUAACAAGCCUACAUCAGCAUGCUCUUCGAGCGAACGUGCUAACAUCGAUGCUCUUCUGUCCCAAUUAUGCUCUCAUGAUCCUGAGGAGCAGAGGUCAGCUGCUGCAGAACUCCGGCUCCUAGCAAAGCGGAAUGCAAACAACAGGAUUUGCAUUGCUGAGGCUGGUGCCAUUCCCUUACUACUGAGUCUCUUAUCUUCAUCUGACCUGCGGACUCAAGAACAUGCUGUGACUGCACUUCUGAACCUCUCCAUACACGAGGAUAAUAAGGCAAGCAUCAUUUCCUCAGGUGCUGUGCCGAGCAUAGUUCAUGUUCUGAAGAAUGGCAGCAUGCAAGCACGGGAGAAUGCUGCAGCUACACUUUUCAGCCUCUCAGUGAUCGAUGAAUACAAAGUAACAAUUGGGGGAACCGGGGCUAUCCCUGCCCUUGUAGUUCUUUUAAGUGAGGGCAGCCAACGGGGAAAGAAAGACGCCGCAGCAGCUCUAUUCAACCUUUGCAUUUAUCAAGGGAACAAGGGUCGUGCAAUACGAGCUGGCCUUGUGCCGCUCAUCAUGGGGCUGGUGACAAACCCCACAGGAGCUCUUAUGGACGAGGCUAUGGCAAUACUCUCGAUAUUGUCGAGCCACCCUGAGGGGAAGGCGGCUAUUGGUGCAGCGGAGCCAGUUCCUGUUCUUGUGGAGAUGAUUGGAAGCGGGUCACCAAGGAAUAGAGAGAAUGCUGCAGCUGUGAUGUUACAUCUUUGCAGUGGUGAGCAACAACUUGUGCAUUUGGCCCGUGCACAAGAGUGCAGAAUCAUGGUCCCGCUACGGGAGCUGGCCCUGAAUGGCACGGAGAGGGGAAAGAGAAAGGCGGUGCUGCUGCUUGAGCGAAUGAGCAGAUUCCUGGUUCAGCAACAAGAGGAAAAGGAAGCCCAGCUGCUGGCAUCCGCACAGGCCAUUCCUCGGAUCGCAGAACAGGUCCAAGAGACCGACAUCCCUGAACAGUUGGAUAGUCCUUCACCUCAAUAUCCCAUGGUCGCAUGAUGUCGAUGAAUAUAUUUGCAACAAUACUGACAAAAGGUGGGCCAAGCAGUAUCUGAGUCACUUGGCUUCUGGAUCCAUGAUUCAUAUACUGAACGAGUUUUUUAAGCUGUCAGAGUCACUUUUAAUUGGUGAUUAUCCCAGACGCUUCUUCCCAUGCUUGGGCGCUGAAGCUCCCAUCGUGCCACCUGUUUCUGGAUUCAUCGAACAUCUCCAGUGACUUUUCCACGAGCAGCACAUGUAGAUCGAGAGCAGUACUCGUGUAGGACUGUAGGAGAGUCCAUGCUUCUUGCCUCCAUCGGGUCAGAAGUAACUGCCGACACCAGAUUCCCAUGGGCUCAUCACCUACCUUCCAAAGCCGUUCUCUGCUUCGAGGGGAUGCUAAACGCCUUCUGGCUCUGUAUUGUAGAAAUUUAAAGUACAUCGAGAGUAUUCAGGUCACGAAGCGAGCAAAAGCCCCAGCGCCAAAGCCAAAGCUGUGAGCCGUCGGAUCACACGUCGAUCGAGCCAAAAGCAGCAAGCCAACACAAACCAUGAGUCCAUGAGUCAAAGGCGAGCCGAGCCAAGUGUUUGAUGAUCUGAGGAGGGCUGAGGCGCACUUGAGCAAGUGCCCCGAGCCAGAAGAAAAUGAGCCGUAAAGCGAGCCGAUGCAGAGAUCAAUGAGCCGGCUCUAGUUGGCGAUCCAAGCCAUGUUUUGAGUCAGAAGUGGAGUCGGCUAAAAACGAGCUCAUGCCUGAAAUUUGGCUCCACUUCAAUAAAAACAUGCCUCAAACCAGAUGGAGUAUUAGGAGUAAAAUUAUAUUAUUAUUAA